This 497-nucleotide ribosomal RNA is filed under the name uncultured bacterium. RNAcentral describes it as "partial 16S ribosomal RNA". It matches the Rfam family "Bacterial small subunit ribosomal RNA", at positions 28 to 507 of the family's 1533-position model. The record is from RNAcentral.
GAUGAACGCUGGCGGCGUGCCUAAUACAUGCAAGUCGAGCGAACGGACGAGAAGCUUGCUUCUCUGAUGUUAGCGGCGGACGGGUGAGUAACACGUGGAUAACCUACCUAUAAGACUGGGAUAACUUCGGGAAACCGGAGCUAAUACCGGAUAAUAUUUUGAACCGCAUGGUUCAAAAGUGAAAGACGGUCUUGCUUUCACUUAUAGAUGGAUCCGCGCUGCAUUAGCUAGUUGGUAAGGUAACGGCUUACCAAGGCAACGAUGCAUAGCCGACCUGAGGGGGUGAUCGGCCACACUGGAACUGAGACACGGUCCAGACUCCUACGGGAGGCAGCAGUAGGGAAUCUUCCGCAAUGGGCGAAAGCCUGACGGAGCAACGCCGCGUGAGUGAUGAAGGUCUUCGGAUCGUAAAACUCUGUUAUUAGGGAAGAACAUAUGUGUAAGUAACUGUGCACAUCUUGACGGUACCUAAUCAGAAAGCCACGGCUAACUACGUG